Molecule: ribosomal RNA, 486 nt
Filed under: uncultured bacterium
Lineage: Bacteria
Description: partial 16S ribosomal RNA
Rfam family: Bacterial small subunit ribosomal RNA
Source: RNAcentral
AUUGAACGCUGGCGGCAUGCCUUACACAUGCAAGUCGAACGGCAGCACGGGUGCUUGCUCCUGGUGGCGAGUGGCGAACGGGUGAGUAAUACAUCGGAACAUGUCCUGUAGUGGGGGAUAGCCCGGCGCAAGCCGGAUUAAUACCGCAUACGAUCUACGGAUGAAAGCGGGGGACCUUCGGGCCUCGCGCUCUUGGUUUGGCCGAUGGCUGAUUAGCUAGUUGGUGGGGUAAAGGCCUACCAAGGCGACGAUCAGUAGCUGGUCUGAGAGGACGACCAGCCACACUGGGACUGAGACACGGCCCAGACUACUACGGGAGGCAGCAGUGGGGAAUUUUGGACAAUGGGCGAAAGCCUGAUCCAGCAAUGCCGCGUGUGUGAAGAAGGCCUUCGGGUUGUAAAGCACUUUUGUCCGGAAAGAAAGACUUGGCCCUAAUACGGUCGGGGGAUGACGGUACCGGAAGAAUAAGCACCGGCUAACUACGUG